UACGGCUCAGUAACACGUGGAUAACCUGCCCUAAGGAAGGGGAUACCCUCGGGAAACUGAGGAUAAUACCCUAUAGGUUACCGAUGCUGGAAUGCUCGGUAACUCAAAGUUCCGGCGCCUUAGGAUGGAUCUGCGGCCGAUUAGGUAGUUGUUGGGGUAACGGCCCAACAAGCCCGUAAUCGGUACGGGUUGUGGGAGCAAGAGCCCGGAGUUGGAUUCUGAGACACGAAUCCAGGCCCUACGGGGCGCAGCAGGCGCGAAAACUUUACAAUGCGGGCAACCGUGAUAAGGGAACCUCGAGUGCCUGUACAUGCAGGCUGUCUGGGUGUCUAAAACACACCCAAAGAAAGGGCCGGGCAAGACCGGUGCCAGCCGCCGCGGUAAUACCGGCGGCUCGAGUGGUGGCCACUUUUAUUGGGCUUAAAGCGUUCGUAGCUGGGUUGUUAAGUCUCUUGGGAAAUCCGGCGGCUUAACCGUCGGGCGUCUAAGAGAUACUGGCAAUCUUGGAACCGGGAGAGGUGAGGGGUACUUCGGGGGUAGGAGUGAAAUCCUGUAAUCCUCGAGGGACCACCUGUGGCGAAGGCGCCUCACCAGAACGGCUUCGACAGUGAGGGACGAAAGCUGGGGGAGCAAACCGGAUUARAUACCCGGGUAGUCCCACCGUAAACGAUGUGCGYUUAGGCGCUUCACGACCACGAGUCGUCGAGGUGC
This 711-nucleotide ribosomal RNA is filed under the name uncultured Methanoculleus sp. RNAcentral describes it as "bacterial SSU rRNA". It matches the Rfam family "Archaeal small subunit ribosomal RNA", at positions 84 to 801 of the family's 1478-position model. Lineage: Archaea; Methanobacteriati; Methanobacteriota; Methanomicrobia; Methanomicrobiales; Methanomicrobiaceae. The record is from RNAcentral.